AAGAGGGACAGGGAAAAAAAUGUGAUUUCAGUUAUCCGUACUCAAAUCACGGAUCUGACCCCCAGCCCUCCCCAGCCCUGCAUCCCCAAAAUGAAUCCAAGAGUCGGAGGGAGGGUGGUGAGGUAAUCACGGAUCGGGAAGUCCUGAGAGAGGAGGAGGGGGCACACAGAGGGGUGGGGGCUGAGGUAGGCCCAGGGCUGGCGGGGGCCGCUCAGGAGGGGGUCCCCAUCCUGUGUGCUGGCUGCCGGCUUGGAGUGUGGCUGAGGUUCUCCCGGGGGCGGGAGGAGAAGGGGGGCGGGACGCGGAGCUGGCUCAGUGGGCGCGGGCCGAGCUGGCCACUGGCUGGAAGGGGCUCGCAGGCUGGGCGGCGGCGGCAGCGUCCUCCGGGUAGAGAGAGAGCAGCGAGGGUCCCAGGCCUGCGGGGAGAGAUGGGGGGAGCCAUCAGCCCAACCUGUGCCAUCUUCCUAGCAGCCAAACGUGUCCUUCCUGGAUUCCAGCAGCCCCGAGCGCUCAGGCUGUUGAUGGCCAUGGUCAAGAAGAGCCCCAGUUCAGAGCCGGACGGCUGUCCCAGCGUGAAUCCAAGGCUUCUCGGGUGCUUGUGGUGUGAUCUGGAGCAAAGUGACUUGACCUAGCUGGGCCUCGGUCUUCUCAUCUGUACAAUGGGCAAAUGGCACCAUCCUCUUGGGGCUACUGUGAGGAGUAUAGGAGUCAAUCUGCGUGCAGCGCUUUGAGCGUGAACUGCUACUGGUGGGUGCUUAGUGAGUGAGCUUCACACCUGCCAUGUUUAUGAGGAUUUACUCAUUCAAAAUGUACCUGCUAAUCGCUUCUCGGCCUUUCGGCUAAGAUCAAGUACAAAAUAUACCCACUGUUCAUCCAUGAGGUGCCAGGCACUGUGCUGGUUGCUGGAGCGGGAUGGGUGGGACUCCCUGGCCUCGUGGGAAACAGGAGAACCCGUGAGGGCCCUGGGUGCGAUGCCGCACAGGAAGGAUUUGGCACCAAGCCUGCGGCACCGUAAGCGCUUAACGAACGUUAGCGACUCAUGACAGUAAUGCACCGAGCACCUCCGGUGUCCUCUGCCACUGCCCGGCCACACACAGGGGAAGUCCAGCCAUGACCAAGAUGGCGCUGGCUCCCUGCCCUCACAGGGAGAAGCCAGCCAAAUCAUCAAACGGUGACACAGACACCUCUGUGACAAGCUAUGGGUCUGCGAAGCCAGGGAGAGCUUUCUAGAACGAGUCCUGGUUGAUCUGAGCCCUAAAGGGU
RNAcentral lists this long non-coding RNA (1263 nucleotides) under Oryctolagus cuniculus (rabbit). RNAcentral's name for it is "lncRNA (ENSOCUG00000039593.1)". Lineage: Eukaryota; Metazoa; Chordata; Mammalia; Lagomorpha; Leporidae. The record is from RNAcentral.